GCUUGCUAUCUGCAUCUUUCAAGAAGCACCGAAUCCGCUUCAGUUCAGUUUGCAACUGCUCAACUCCCUGCCGCACGCCAUAAAGUGAGCUUGCUUCACGAACAACGGCAUCAGCAAUUCUUUCAAUGGCAAAGGAACAAGAGCAAGAUACUACGCUUUGGAGCAGAGCAAACCAAAAAUUAAAAGUGAAAAAGCAAUUAGCUUCCUCUUAUUUUUUGCUUAAAAAAAUGGAAGGCAUGCAACUUUUUUUCUUUCCUUUUUUCCUAUUCUUUAGAGAAUAGCUUGCAUUUUUGCUUAAAUACCAGUUGGUCUUUGCAAUUUUGGUCUUUUAAUUGUAUUUUCUGGUGAACUGAUUGAAUUAAGGAACAUGCAUUGUAUAUUAUUUAUACUUGUUAUAUAUUUGUAAUUUGAUUUGUUUUA
Long non-coding RNA from Manihot esculenta (cassava), 420 nucleotides. RefSeq lists it as uncharacterized. Lineage: Eukaryota; Viridiplantae; Streptophyta; Magnoliopsida; Malpighiales; Euphorbiaceae. The transcript is spliced from 2 exons. The record is from RefSeq and is a predicted model, not a curated record.